ACUGGGGUGGCAGAGCAUGGUUAAUUGCGUAAGGCCUAAGCCCUUAAAAUCAGAGGUUCAAAUCCUCUUCCCAGUU
This 76-nucleotide transfer RNA is filed under the name Rhynchocypris oxycephala (Chinese minnow). RNAcentral's name for it is "Phoxinus oxycephalus (Chinese minnow) tRNA-Leu". It matches the Rfam family "tRNA". Rfam says of the family: Transfer RNA (tRNA) molecules are approximately 80 nucleotides in length. Their secondary structure includes four short double-helical elements and three loops (D, anti-codon, and T loops). The record is from RNAcentral. Lineage: Eukaryota; Metazoa; Chordata; Actinopteri; Cypriniformes; Leuciscidae. RNAcentral also lists the same sequence under 1 other name.